RNAcentral lists this non-coding RNA (24 nucleotides) under Arabidopsis thaliana (thale cress). Lineage: Eukaryota; Viridiplantae; Streptophyta; Magnoliopsida; Brassicales; Brassicaceae. The record is from RNAcentral.
GAAGUUGUAGUUAAUGUGAAUGUG